Phascolarctos cinereus (koala) is the source of this 328-nucleotide non-coding RNA. Lineage: Eukaryota; Metazoa; Chordata; Mammalia; Diprotodontia; Phascolarctidae. The record is from RefSeq and is a predicted model, not a curated record.
ACUGCCUUGGCCUUGCUGAAAUGGGUUUUGAAGGCAUAGAAGAGCUGUAAGAAGUUAAACUGGAUACAAGGAGAGGCUGCUUUUCGGUAGCAAAUGUGUAGCAACAUGGACAGCAGAUGACCUUGAAGAAAGAGAUGAAGAACAGAAGCUGGGUACAGAGAGUUGCUCAGUGACUGAGAGAUCCUGGGCAUUUCCUGAGUGCAGAGCGAAGAUGUGAUGCUGCCCUGCUGAGAGAGAAUGUCACCAGAGGUGAUCCUAAAGAUUCAUAAGUGUUCCCUGCACACAUCUCCUCAACGAAUGUGCUCUGGUCACGAAGAACACUCUACGU